UUGUAUAUCAUGGAAAAUCUAAACUUUUUUUUUACAGUUUUUUUCUUCCGAAGCUCAUGUAUAUGUUAGGGGGAAAAAUACCUAUUAACCGUAAAUUUUAACAAAUAUAUUAUGAUUAGUAUACUUUUUAUUUAAGAAAUAUUUAAAAAUAAAAUAAAUUUCAAUGGUUAGUGAUAAACAAUUAUUUUACAUAUAAUCUUAUUUUUCAAUUGUACUCUUUAAUGACUCAUUUGCACAAAAUAAUAUGAACACAAUAAAGUGGCAUAUUAAAAACACUCCAAAAUAAUAAGAUGUAUAAUUUUUUUUAACUCAAUAAAUAAAAAUUACUAAAUAUAAAAAAAAAACAUGUAUCGGUAUAUUUGCAAAAGAUCCACAAGAAGCAAGGUAGGAUUCACCAAGAUAACAUCUCUUUGGUAGAGAUUUCUUUGACUUUAGUCUCCGCGAUGGCUAGCUGGUUCGUCCAGGACUCAUUUUAUAUUUUCCAUAUCUCUAGCAACUUUUGGAUUUUGGAGUAAACCUCCUCAUACUUCUUGAACUUUUUCCUCAACUAUCUUUUGAUCUGGUCUCGUCUCUCUCAGUCGAUAUGUUCUAGCAUUAACACCCUUAGCAAGUGAUCCUUCUUCAUGUCAGUAAGCUCGGAGGACAGUUUAGUACCGGGGUCUUAUAAUCGGAAAAGGGAGAUAAGAACCAAUAAAUUGGACGACGUCAAAACUGAAGUCAACCCAUAGAAAAGGCAGGCGGGAUGAGAGCCUCACCAUCAAGAGACUUCUAAGCUAACCUGCAAAUUUGAUUUAUAUUAAAUUUGAUCUUUGUAAUAUGUAGAAUAUUUAAUUUUAGUCCUUACAAAAUUAUUUAUAUUGUAUUUGGUCUAUAUAAUAUAUGGAAUAUUUGAUUUUAAUCUUUUCAA
RNAcentral lists this long non-coding RNA (907 nucleotides) under Lathyrus oleraceus (garden pea). Its description in RNAcentral is "Pisum sativum (pea) long non-coding RNA (PSAT_LNC014175)". Lineage: Eukaryota; Viridiplantae; Streptophyta; Magnoliopsida; Fabales; Fabaceae. The record is from RNAcentral.